AAGGCAUGUAGACAUGCUGCUGGAGAGCCAGAACUCCAUGCGUUAAAACUUUGUUCAUUUGCACAUCAUCUCUCAUUCACAUUUGCUUGUAAAAUGUCCAAACUCUCCAAAUAUGCCAUUCGGUAGCUACCGCCCAACUAUAGUUUGGUCCUGACUGGAUUUACAACCCUGUUCUAUUUGGACUGAGCUGUUAGUGAGCCAAGUUUUCACAUCUUGCUCUUUCUCUCUCAAUUCAAUUGAAAGGACUUUAUUGGCAUGGGACACACAUGUCUACAUUGCCAAAGCCAGUGAAAUACAUAAUAAACAAAAGUGAAAUAAACGAACUGCUAACGUUAGCCAUCAAGCUAAUGAAGUCAGAGAUGAGUUUUCCAAUGGAGCCCUCUCUGACUGGAGAGGUAAAUGAAUGAUUCCUGAUGAGUUGUCUGGAGAGAUAAAUGAAUGAUUCCUGAUGAGUUGUCUGGAGAGGUAAAUGAAUGGUUCCUGAUGAGUUGUCUGGAGAGGUAAAUGAAUGAUUCCUGAUGAGUUGUCUGGAGAGGUAAAUGAAUGAUUCCUGAUGAGUUGUCUGGAGAGGUAAAUGAAUGAUUCCUGAUGAGUUGUCUGGAGAGGUAAAUGAAUGAUUCCUGAUGAGUUGUCUGGAGAGGUAAAUGAAUGAUUCCUGAUGAGUUGUCUGGAGAGGUAAAUUAAUGAUUCCUGAUGAGUUGUCUGGAAAGGUAAAUGAAUGAUUCCUGAUGAGUUGUCUGGAGAGGUAAAUUAAUGAUUCCUGAUGAGUUGUCUGGAGAGGUAAAUGAAUGAUUCCUGAUGAGUUGUCUGGAGAGGUAAAUUAAUGAUUCCUGAUGAGGUGUCUGGAGAGGUAAAUGAACGGUUCCUGCGCUGUAGGAGCUGUAUCUACUACGCUUUGUUUUCGGGACAAACCGGAUCACUCAGAGUUCCAGUGCGAUAAUUGUUUGCUUGCCGAGGAUUAUAGGCUUGAUGUGGCUUCCUUGAUCACAGAGGUCGCCAGCCUACAUAAGAAACUGAGGAAAUUUCUACGCCUGUUCCUUGGAUGGUGUUCGCACCGACUGGCCGGUGUUGCCCGGAGUUGGUUCGCCAGGGGAGCCAACUCCUGCCUCUCCUCCCCCAUCUGAUAGCGGAAUCGAAGGAGCACAGCAAGAGGAGCAUGACAAUCAACGAUGGUUGCAUGUGGAUGCCAGCACCAUCCUGUGAAGCGUGGGAGUGGUUGGAUUUCUAAGUCAUUCUCACCAGCCAUGGUUUUGGGCAGCUCCAUGGUAAGGAAUGUGACAGUUCCUGGUGCUGAAACAAUGUCCUACCCCGGAGCUCGGGUAAAUGACAUUACUAAGCAGUUGAAACUGGAUUUCAAAGAGCUGAUUGACUCUCUGCUAGACACUAAUAUAAGACCCAUCAUAUCUGGCCCUGUGCUCUUCUCUGAAUCGUGUCAUUGAACACUUUAGCAGGAUUUUUUUCUCUUCACAACUGGCUACGUGAAUUUUGCAGCUCGAUGGGUGUAACUUUUUGUUGACAAUAUCGAUACCUUUUUUAAACAAAACACGUUUUAUCAGGAGGAUGGGAUAAAACCACUUGGUUUCCUGGAUCCUUUCACUGCAUUAUAAGGCUGUGUUGAGACAAUGACUUAUCAAUGACCCCAGCUCAGUUAAUCCCUACCAUUGUGUCGCUGAGUCAUCAUAAUGCUUCAGUAAUUGUACAUUAUACCAGUGGCGUUGGUAGACACAAUGUAAGUAACCUAAUUCAUGACCCUCUAACUGCCCCGAAUGCCUCUGCUGAUCCUACAGCUAUUGUAUGCAGCAAUCAUGUGUCUAUGAACCAGAUUUAUGUUGUUAGCACUAAGGCGGUGUGCCCUAGUAGGAUGUCCACUGUGUGCAGCUCACCCUGCACAAACUAACAUUAAAUAACAUGAUAAUAUCUACUUCUGCUAAGCUUCUCAGUAAAGAAAUGAAAACAAGCAAGCAUCCCAGAAAAGUACUCAAAAUAGCCCACGUUAACAUAUGUAUCUUAAGAAACAAGGUUCAUGAAAUGUAUAACUUGCUAGUAACAGAUCACAUUCAUAUCCUGACACUCUCUGAAACUCAAUUAGACAUUACCUUUGAUAAAGUGAUAGCAAUACAAGGUUAUAACAUUUACAGAAAAUACAUGUCAGUGGUGGAGGUGUUGCUGUUUAUAUUCAGAACCACAUUCCUGUAAAGAUUAGAGAGGAUCUCAUGUUAAACACUGUUGAAGUAAUAUGGCUACAGGUUCAUCUGCCUCACUUAAAGCCCGUUCUGGUGGGAAGCUGCUAUAGACCACUAAGUGCUAACAGUCAGUAUCUGGAUAAUGUUAAAUACUGUUGAAGUAAUAUGGCUACAGGUUCAUCUGCCUCACUUAAAGCCCGUUCUGGUGGGAAGCUGCUAUAGACUAAGUGCUAACAGUCAGUAUCUGGAUAACGUGUGAAAUGCUUGAUAAUGUAUGUGAUAUCAACAGAGGUAUAUUAUCUGGGUGAUUUAAAUAUUGACUGGCUUUCAUCAAGCUGCCCACUCAAGAAAAAGCUUCAAACUGUAACCAGUACCUGCAACCUGGUUCAGGUUAUCAUUCAACCGACCAGGGUCUAUACAAACAGCACAGGAAUGAAAUCAUGUAUUGAUCACAUCUUUACUAAUGCUGCGGAUAUGUGUUUAAAAGCAGUAUCCAGAUCCAUCAGAUGUAGUGAUCACAGUAUAGUAGCCAUAUCUAGGAAAACCAAAGUUCCAAAGACUGGGCCUAAUAUAGUGUAUACGAACGAGGUCAUACAAUACGUGUUGGAGUGAUACCUAUGGUGUUGAUGUAAAGAAUAUUAGUUGGUCCAUGAUGUGUAAUGAGAAGCAAACAGAUGCUGCACUUAACACAUUUAUGAAAUUGCUUACUCCAUUUACUAAUAAGCAUGUACCAUUUAAAAUAAAAAGAACUGUAAAAACUGUUAAAUCCCUGUGGAUUGAUGAGGAAUUGAAAAAGGGUAUGGUUGAGAGGGAUGAGGCAAAAGGAAUGGGUACUCUGGCUGCACAACUGAUUGGCAAACAUAUUGCACAUUGAGAAAUCAUGUGACUAAACUGAAUAAAAAGAAGAAACUACUCUAUGAAACAAAGAUAAAUGACAUAAAGAAUGAUAGUAAAAAGCUUUGGAGCGCUUUUGUCGUGUCUUUGGCAUCAUUAAACUGAAGACUUACUUAUCAAACAACUCUGUAAUUAUUAUUACGCGAUUAAACUGAUUAAUCAAAUGUAAUUAACUAGGAAGUCGGGGUUCCAAGGAAAAUAUUCAAAUGACAAAGUUAUAAUUUUCCUAAUACAACUUUUCAGAUAUUUUAAUAUCUGAUCAAUUAGUCUUCUUAAUUAAUGAAUUAUUUUACCUCACGUUAGUCUCAUUCCAAACGUUGUAAAUUGUUGGUUAUCUGCACAAACCCAGUCUUCACUUUGAGUCAUCCAUAUAUAAAUUGUCUUAAAAUCGUUUAUUUACUAAGUAAUUCACAGAAAUGCAUAACACAAACAAAGUAGAUGGUUACAAAGAAAUGAUAGCGGAUGUGCCCCUAGUGGGCUAAACCGGCAUGGCGGCUUGCUAGACAACAGGGGAAGUUAGGGGUCAGCUGAGAAGUCCCGACAGAGUUGAUAAUUAUAACAAUUGAAAUGCUAAUUCUUUGCACAUGAACACUCACUCAUUUGGGAUCAAUUGCAAUCAAUAUAUAUAUUUACGCUCAGUGUGUCGUCGGGAUCUCUGUUGAAAAGUUUAUUUCUGUUGGAGAGUUUGUCUGCUCUCUCUCUCUGUCGUAUUUAGAAUGGAUAGUUCAGAGUGACAUUCAUCGUUAUAGAAUAGAUGUUUCGGCGGUUGUCGGUCUUCGCAUUCAAUGAUACCGAAUUCCUAGCUGCAGACUAGUAAUUAAUAUUUCUUUCCUUAAUGCAUUUAUGCUAAUCAAUUGUGUUUGUGACAAGGUAGGGGUGGAAUACAGAAAAUAGCCCUAUUUGAUAAAAUACCAAGUCCAUAUUAUGGCAAGAACAGAGCAAAUAAGCAAGUUAAACAACAGUCCAUCAUUACUUUAAGACACAAAGGUCAGUAUGCAGAAAAUUUCAAGAACUCUUGAAUGAGUUAGUGUGUCCAAACUUUUGACUGGUACUGUACGUCUCUCAUAUGGUCAUACAAUUGGCAGGAUGUUAGGAAGUGCAGCUCCGUUUCCACCUCAUUUUGUGGGCAGUGUACAUAGCCUGUCUUAUCGUGAGAGCCAGGUCUCUCUCUCUCUGUCCGUGUCUCUCUUUGUUUUUCCUCUCAUUGUCAUUCAACCUCCCAAACAGAAAGAUGGCACUCGUCAUACAGUAUAGUACCCAUCGCUGCUGUGGGUCUAUAUCUGUAACUUCUAUCACUCUGCAUGACUGCUGUAGACGUAAAGAAUAAACAGAUACUGUAUCUCCAUAGAGACGUCUCUCAUCAUGUCUG
Long non-coding RNA from Oncorhynchus keta (chum salmon), 4446 nucleotides. RefSeq lists it as uncharacterized. The transcript is spliced from 3 exons. The record is from RefSeq and is a predicted model, not a curated record. NCBI's taxonomy places the organism in Eukaryota, Metazoa, Chordata, Actinopteri, Salmoniformes, Salmonidae.